AUCUCCACUUCUUUCUCCAACCCCACCACUUCCAACUUCUUCUCCACCAUCUCCACCUUCUUCCCCACCACCUCCAUCUUCUUUAAAAUUAAGAAAGAGAAAGAGAGAGAGAGAGAGAGAGAAAGAGAGAGAGAAGAAGAAGAAGAAGGGAGAAAGCUCACCUGAGCUCGUCGCCGGAGCCACCACACGCCAGACCAUUGAGUUCGCCACCACCAUCAUCCGCAACCAAAGCCCAUCAUCGUGUUCCUCUCGUCGAGACGAAGCCGUAGACACCAACCGCGUCACGAUCGGAGCCCGGACGAAGCCGUACGCGCCUCCAGAAAACCGCUCUUCGCGCGCGCGUGAAGCGCACGCGCUGCCGCCGGAAAUCGUCGCCACCGCAGCUCCGCCGCCGGACCACCGUCCGCCGCCGCAGCUCCGCCGUCGCCGCCGGCCAACUUUCCGGUAAGCCACCGCCGCAGCUCCGCCGUCGCCGCCGGUGACCGACACCGGUGACUCACCGGCGACUCGGUCAACUCGGCCGAGUCAACUCAGUGAGUCAACUCGGUUGACACGGUUAACCGAUCGGUUAGCCGGUUUAAAUUGAUUUCGGUUCGGUUAGGGUAAACCGGUCGGUUUAGUCAAAUCGAUUUCUGGUCAAAACUUGACCGGGUUGACUUUGACCAGCGGGUUGACUUUUUCGAAAACCUUGACCAGUUCCGUUUUCGACCGUUCGAAAGGCGUUCUGACUCAGAAUUUCGAUCUGAUUUCAGAUAUGGAGUCUAUUUGAGCAGCUGGAGUUCAUAGACAACACUUUUCUAUUGCUAAGGUGAGGGUCUAUUCCCGAACUUCUCGUACACGGCUUAGGACCUCGAAUAAAUAUAGUUUAUUUCUAAUGUGUUCCGUCUGUGUGAAAUCGAGUCUAUCAUUGCUUGUUUAGUUUUAGGUUCUUUGCAUAAACCGGAACUAGGGGGUUAGAGGAUUCAACAUUGAUUGUUUCACUUAAUGUAAAUUCUUAGCUAGGAUUGUUUUUGUUUGGAGACGGAUACAGAGACGGACUGCUGUAUGCCGGAUUGUAUGGAGGUCACGGCCAACUUUAGUCGACCGGUUGAGCUGUAGACUGGAAGUGUCGAUAAAUCGUCUACGGGCGUGUGUUACCGAGCACUUUUUCGGUGUGUGUAUGAACCGAGCACCUUUUCGGUAGUGUUUUGGCCUGUUAGUGGGCGGCGAGUGUGCAACUCGCUAGGACCAUUGUUUGUUGCUUGAGUACUUUAGGUACUGUGUUUGACAUGCAUUAGAAUUAAAUUAUAUUUAUUCGGAGUGCUAUGUCCGGGUCCAUGGACUUCGGGGUGGCAUCCCAUACCUCACUGAGCGAUUCCCCUGUCGCUCACCCCUCACUCUUCCCCUUUUCAGGUGAGACAAACAAGUAUGUGAUAUUUGGACGGAUUUGGUGCUACUGGACUUUUCUUUCGGAUUUUAUUUGGGCAUGGGUGAGAGUUGUCGGGUUUAUGGGCUUUUAUAUUACGGGAUAUUGUGGUGGCCCGUCGUCCUUAGUGUCAGGGAGACGGGUAUCACAUUGUUGUAUGAUGACGCGUCGGGGGUGACACGCUGUCCUCCAUAUAGGAGGUGACGGGUGUCACAAUUUGGUAUCAGAGCCAGGUUCCAUCCCGGUUCCGUCCGGGAUGGCGGUCAGGGGAUUCGGUUUUCCUCGGUUUUCAACUUAAAAAAAAAAAAACUAUAUAUUUAUUUAUACAUUUUGAAAUUCUUUUAGCACCAUUAUGUCCUGUAAUUACUAACUCAAAUGUCUCUUUCUAUGACGAUGAGUAAAAUCAUCGUCAUUCGUCCUUCGACUAUCAAGGUUCUCGACAGAUGUUCAGCAGUUGCGUGAAGUCCAGGUUCGUCAGUUUUCUCGGGAGUUAUCAGUUUCUUCGGUCAUGAUUUCGAGGCUAUCCAGGAGUGGAUAUGUGACGUUUCUGCCACCAGCCCACUUCAAGCAAUCGUUCCACGAGUUUGUUACUGGAGAUUAUGUGGUGUGUGAUAUGAGCCAUUGGUUGGCAUGUGUUGUUGUGUGUACGAGUAUAUUGACUAUUUUGGAGAUAUAUUUGUUUUGUGAACUCGUGGAGAUCGCUUUUGAAUUGGGGUGCAGCAGCUUGCGUUGUGUGGGUGUUGGAGUUACACUUUGGUAUGUUUACCAAUUUUGGCAGUGUUGAUCGUUUCAGAGAUGUGUCAGUUUGGACAACUGACAUAGGACAUUGGGAGCUAUUUAUAUCCAUCGCAGUGUACCAGUUAUGCUUGGAGGGCCGAUUUGUUCGGAUAUUCAUCAGAGAUGGAGCUACGUUUUUACGACGUUAUCCUUGGGACGGAUUGACUGUCACGGCAUCAAGUAGUGUUGGAUUGCCUGAGGGCAAGAGUUCCGAUUGCUGGAGCAGAUGGAAGUUGUUAGUGCAUGCAUGCUACAUACUGAGGAGUUAUGGGAUACAAGGACAUAGAGAUUUUUGACUACCAUCUCGAUGGUUAAGGCUGAUGGACAACAUGAGCUGCAGGAUCUUCCGGUUAUUGCAGAGUAUGAGGACAUAUUUGUGACCUUUGGAACGGUCACCACAUGACACAUGAGAAACUCUUGCGAUUUGUUUGGAGCAAACAACACCAGUUUCACAAGUUUUAUACCGAUUAGCACCAACAGAGAUGACAAAGCUGAAAGAGCAUGUUGAAGAUUCAUCAGACAAGGGUUUUAUCAGACCGGGUACUUUACCGUGGGGAACAUCAUCAUUGUUGUUGUAAAGAAGAAAGGUGGGAGUUUCAAUUUUGUAUCGACUGCAAAGGUCUGAACAAAGUGACCAUUAAAGAUAAGUAUCGCUUCCGCGCGUUGAUGAAUUAUUGGAUUAUUUAUAGGAAGUUUAUAGUUCUUGAAGGUUGACAUGGCAUCAGAACACCAUCAGAUUACUAUAUUUGAAGAGUAUCUACUGAAUGUGAAUUUUUGUAUACAUUAUGGAUAUUAUGGGACGCAGUGAUACCAUUUGGCUCGACAAAGGCAUCGUUGCAUUCAUGAAGAUAUGAAUGACGUUUUCGUGAACAUUUGGAUAGGUGUGCGAUUGUAUUCAUCGAUGACAUCCUGAUUUAUUUUGGAGUAGAAAGGAGAUUUGUGAGCAUUUUGCGGAUUGCAUUGGAUAAGCCUGGAGAGCAUCAGUUGUUCGCUAAGUUGAGGAAGUGUAGCUUCUGGCAGAGGAAUGUUGUAUUUUUGGAUAACAUGGUUUUGGAAGCAGAAUUUUGAUGGAUUCAAAGAAGAUUAAUACCGUUUCGGGAAGGUCGAAACCUAAGAGCGCUACAAAGAUCUGCCGUUCUUUUUGGGUUAAUAGUGUACUACUGGAAGUUCAUCAAGGGUUUCACCGGUAUAGUAAUGUUAAAGACGCGGUCUACAUGUAAAGACGUUAAGUGUGGUUGGAUAGAUUUUUGUUCGAGGAGUUUCACUGAAUUGAAGCACAACUAAUGAAGACACCAGUUUUGGGUUCUACUGAGGCUGAGGCUUACUGUGAUGUGUCAGAUACUGGAUUGGAUUUAAAUUAAGGUAUGAGGAUUAAGUCAUUCAUAUGCAUCACGCCAGAGAGGCUGUAGUGGUAUUUGCGUUAUCGUUUUGGAGAUCGUAAUUGUACGGGAAGGAAGUUCAGAUUCUCUGGGAUUAUUAGAAUGUGAAAUUUAUCUUCAUUUAUUAAAAACUUGUACUUGGACAGUGCAGUUGGAUUGAGUUUGUAGCAGGCUAUAGUCUGGAUAUCGCAUACUAUCUGGUAAGGACAACCAGGUGAUAAAUGCCUUGGGUAGGCGUAUGAGCUGUAUCUCAGGAACCAAGAAGGUUCAUGAGUUGGAGAUUUGCUAGUCUCAGGUUGGGUGCCAUUACUAUCAAUGGAGAGACAGAUGUCCUUGGGACUUUGGAGCAGACAGUUUUGCUAUGGAGGAUACACAAGCACAAGUUAGCAUUCUGGAUUGGUUGAACAGAUCGAGAUUGGGAGUAUUGGAUAUCAUACAGCUUUGAGCAGGAUAUACUUGUACUGAAACCGAGUUUGUGUGUUGGACGAUAAGUUGUUAAGAAAAGGAAUCUUACAACAAACAUAUCACUCGUGUUUCUCUACCCAUCGGGAAGACCAAAGGGUACAAAGAUAUGAAGAGUUAACUAUAAUUGGUGUAGUAUGAAGAUGUUUGUAACUACAUUACGUCGCGGUGCCAGACGUGUUAUAUGGCAAUGACAGAGGAUCAGUUAUCUAUUAUGUUAUUUUUGAGCUUGCUUUUGCCGGAGUAGAAAUGAGGCAUGGUGAUUAUGGACAUUGUUAUUGGAUUUUAAAUCACCAUAUGUGGAAAGGAUGCCACAUGGGUAGUCAUUGAUAGACUUACCAAGUCAGCCCAUUUCCUAAGUAAUUAAGAAGAUAAUCAGGGCUAAUCAAUUGGAGCAAACCUACAUUAUUGAGUUUGGGAAGUUUCAUGGAUGUCAACAUUGUAUCGGAUUGGGAAUCGAAGUUCACAUCUACAUUUCAGAGAGCCUUUCGGAAGGCACUUGGGACAAAGAUCAUAUGAGUACAUCUUAUCACCCGUUGACAUAUUGUCAGUCAGAGAGGACUACUCAGAACUUAAAUGAUAUGUUCAGAGAUUGCGUGGGAUGGAAUUUCGGAAAGCAUCUACCUUUACCAGAGUUUGCCUACAUCGACAACUAUCUUUUGAGUAUUGAGAAAAAAAAAAAAUUACUAUACGAGGGUUAUUUAUGGUAGACCCUAUAGUAUACCACUUUGUUGGACCAAAGUGGGGUAGUAAUAUGAGUUAGAACUAUUAAUGGUUUAAGAGACGGUAGAGCAGAGGACAUGCUCAAGGAUUGGCUUUCGGAAGCUCAUGACGUCAGAGCAUUUAUGCAGCUAAGCACCGUAAGGAUUUAGAGCUACAUAUGAGCACCUAAUAUACCUGAAAAUAAGGACAUUUCAGGAGGGACCUAAGACUCAGAAGAUAAAGGAGCUUAAACCGAGACACAUGGAAUUGUAUCCUUCGCUGGAGUGGAUUGGAUUAAUUGCUUGCAGUUACUUUAUCAGCAGUAUAUCAGCCUUCUAGUACUUGGUUCAUAUGACAGCAUUGCAAAAGUUGAGAAGGCGCUAUAACUAUUUUGCAGUAGACAUCAAGUGAGUUCAUAAAGAUUUUAUGAACCUUAUCAUCUAUUGGAGAUUUUGGAUCAUCAUGAGAAGACAGUUCGGGGAAUAUCGACUGUGUUUGUCCAAGUUCAUUGGGAGGGAGAUAAGACCCAGGAGGAGACCUGAAAGGUCGAGCGAAGAUUAGUAUUCGAGGUUUUGCUAUGAUGACAUUGGGCACGUCAGCUUAUGACAUGAAUUCGGGGACGAAUUCCUUAUAAGUGGGGGAGAAUUGUAAUGACCCACCACUCCCACCAUCUCCACUUCUUUCUCCAACCCCACCACUUCCAACUUCUUCUCCACCAUCUCCACCUUCUUCCCCACCACCUCCAUCUUCUUUAAAAUUAAGAAAGAGAAAGAGAGAGAGAGAGAGAGAGAGAAAGAGAGAGAGAAGAAGAAGAAGAAGGGAGAAAGCUCACCUGAGCUCGUCGCCGGAGCCACCACACGCCAGACCAUUGAGUUCGCCACCACCAUCAUCCGCAACCAAAGCCCAUCAUCGUGUUCCUCUCGUCGAGACGAAGCCGUAGACACCAACCGCGUCACGAUCGGAGCCCGGACGAAGCCGUACGCGCCUCCAGAAAACCGCUCUUCGCGCGCGCGUGAAGCGCACGCGCUGCCGCCGGAAAUCGUCGCCACCGCAGCUCCGCCGCCGGACCACCGUCCGCCGCCGCAGCUCCGCCGUCGCCGCCGGCCAACUUUCCGGUAAGCCACCGCCGCAGCUCCGCCGUCGCCGCCGGUGACCGACACCGGUGACUCACCGGCGACUCGGUCAACUCGGCCGAGUCAACUCAGUGAGUCAACUCGGUUGACACGGUUAACCGAUCGGUUAGCCGGUUUAAAUUGAUUUCGGUUCGGUUAGGGUAAACCGGUCGGUUUAGUCAAAUCGAUUUCUGGUCAAAACUUGACCGGGUUGACUUUGACCAGCGGGUUGACUUUUUCGAAAACCUUGACCAGUUCCGUUUUCGACCGUUCGAAAGGCGUUCUGACUCAGAAUUUCGAUCUGAUUUCAGAUAUGGAGUCUAUUUGAGCAGCUGGAGUUCAUAGACAACACUUUUCUAUUGCUAAGGUGAGACAAACAAGUAUGUGAUAUUUGGACGGAUUUGGUGCUACUGGACUUUUCUUUCGGAUUUUAUUUGGGCAUGGGUGAGAGUUGUCGGGUUUAUGGGCUUUUAUAUUACGGGAUAUUGUGGUGGCCCGUCGUCCUUAGUGUCAGGGAGACGGGUAUCACAUUGUUGUAUGAUGACGCGUCGGGGGUGACACGCUGUCCUCCAUAUAGGAGGUGACGGGUGUCACAUAAACUAACCAUAAAAAUGUAUGCAAAUACCAAGUUGAUCUACAUACAUGCUGUCUACAGACUA
Long non-coding RNA from Brassica napus (rape), 6496 nucleotides. RefSeq lists it as uncharacterized. The record is from RefSeq and is a predicted model, not a curated record. Lineage: Eukaryota; Viridiplantae; Streptophyta; Magnoliopsida; Brassicales; Brassicaceae. The transcript is spliced from 4 exons.